This 468-nucleotide ribosomal RNA is filed under the name uncultured bacterium. Its description in RNAcentral is "partial 16S ribosomal RNA". It matches the Rfam family "Bacterial small subunit ribosomal RNA", at positions 28 to 507 of the family's 1533-position model. The record is from RNAcentral.
GACGAACGCUGGCGGCGUGCUUAACACAUGCAAGUCGAACGGAAAGGCCCUGCUUUUGUGGGGUGCUCGAGUGGAGACCGGGUGAGUAACACGUAAGUAAGCUGCACCUGACCUUGGGAUAACCUCAUGCAACUGGGGCUAAUACCGGCUAGGAGCUACCGCCGCUUGGUGGGGGUGGGAUAGUUUCGGCGGUUGGGGAUGGAAUCGCGGCUUAUCAGCUUGUUGGUGGGGUAGUGGCAUACCAAGGCAUUGACGGGUAGCCGGGCUGGGAGGGCGACCGGCCACGUUAGGACUGGGAUACGGCCCAGACCCGUACGGUAGGCAGCGGUGGAGAGGAGUGCACAGUGGGCUGAGGGCUGAUGCAACACAGCCGCGUGGGGUAAGACGUGCAGCGGUUAGGAAACCGCUUUUGCUUUAGACGAGACGUGAGUGACAGUAAUGGGUGAAGAAGCACCGGCUAACUACGUG